CGACGUCAAGUCAUCAUGGCCCUUAUGCCCAGGGCGACACACGUGCUACAAUGGCAUAUACAAUGAGACGCAAUACCGCGAGGUGGAGCAAAUCUAUAAAAUAUGUCCCAGUUCGGAUUGUUCUCUGCAACUCGAGAGCAUGAAGCCGGAAUCGCUAGUAAUCGUAGAUCAGCCAUGCUACGGUGAAUACGUUCCCGGGUCUUGUACUCACCGCCCGUCACACCAUGGGAGUUGAUUUCACUCGAAGCCGGAAUACUAAACUAGUUACCGUCCACAGUGGAAUCAGCGACUGGGGUGAAGUCGUAACAAGGUAACCGUAGGAGAACCUGCGGUUGGAUCACCUCCUUUCUAG
Molecule: ribosomal RNA, 352 nt
Filed under: Salmonella enterica subsp. enterica serovar Infantis
Lineage: Bacteria; Pseudomonadati; Pseudomonadota; Gammaproteobacteria; Enterobacterales; Enterobacteriaceae
Description: bacterial SSU rRNA
Rfam family: Bacterial small subunit ribosomal RNA
Source: RNAcentral